Molecule: ribosomal RNA, 1232 nt
Filed under: metagenome
Description: bacterial SSU rRNA
Rfam family: Bacterial small subunit ribosomal RNA
Source: RNAcentral
UAGCUAGUUGGUGAGGUAACGGCCCACCAAGGCGACGAUCGGUAGCCGGACUGAGAGGUUGAACGGCCACAUUGGGACUGAGACACGGCCCAGACUCCUACGGGAGGCAGCAGUGGGGAAUAUUGCACAAUGGGGGAAACCCUGAUGCAGCGACGCCGCGUGGAGGAAGAAGGUCUUCGGAUUGUAAACUCCUGUUGUUGAGGAAGAUAAUGACGGUACUCAACAAGGAAGUGACGGCUAACUACGUGCCAGCAGCCGCGGUAAAACGUAGGUCACAAGCGUUGUCCGGAAUUACUGGGUGUAAAGGGAGCGCAGGCGGGCGAUCAAGUUGGAAGUGAAAUCCAUGGGCUCAACCCAUGAACUGCUUUCAAAACUGGUCGUCUUGAGUAGUGCAGAGGUAGGCGGAAUUCCCGGUGUAGCGGUGGAAUGCGUAGAUAUCGGGAGGAACACCAGUGGCGAAGGCGGCCUACUGGGCACCAACUGACGCUGAGGCUCGAAAGUGUGGGUAGCAAACAGGAUUAGAUACCCUGGUAGUCCACACCGUAAACGAUGAUUACUAGGUGUUGGGAGAUUGACCCUCUCAGUGCCGCAGUUAACACAAUAAGUAAUCCACCUGGGGAGUACGACCGCAAGGUUGAAACUCAAAGGAAUUGACGGGGGCCCGCACAAGCAGUGGAGUAUGUGGUUUAAUUCGACGCAACGCGAAGAACCUUACCAAGUCUUGACAUCCCUUGACGAUGCUGGAAACAGUAUUUCUCUUCGGAGCAAGGAGACAGGUGGUGCAUGGUUGUCGUCAGCUCGUGUCGUGAGAUGUUGGGUUAAGUCCCGCAACGAGCGCAACCCUUAUGGUCAGUUACUACGCAAGAGGACUCUGGCCAGACUGCCGUUGACAAAACGGAGGAAGGUGGGGAUGACGUCAAAUCAUCAUGCCCUUUAUGACUUGGGCUACACACGUACUACAAUGGCGUUAAACAAAGAGAAGCAAGACCGCGAGGUGGAGCAAAACUCAGAAACAGCGUCCCAGUUCGGACUGCAGGCUGCAACUCGCCUGCACGAAGUCGGAAUUGCUAGUAAUCGUGGAUCAGCAUGCCACGGUGAAUACGUUCCCGGGCCUUGUACACACCGCCCGUCACACCAUGAGAGCCGGGGGGACCCGAAGUCGGUAGUCUAACCGCAAGGAGGACGCCGCCGAAGGUAAAACUGGUGAUUGGGGUGAAGUCGUAACAAGGUAA